This 669-nucleotide long non-coding RNA is filed under the name Gouania willdenowi (blunt-snouted clingfish). RNAcentral describes it as "lncRNA (ENSGWIG00000019235.1)". Lineage: Eukaryota; Metazoa; Chordata; Actinopteri; Blenniiformes; Gobiesocidae. The record is from RNAcentral.
AUAAUGUCUGUCAACUGUGAAAUGUCUCAAACGACUCCUUAAGUUAAACUCUGUCAGGGAAAAUUCUUGUGACAUUAGUCAUACUCUUGGCCAGAUUAAGUGAUCUGGGUGUAGCCAGUUAAUCUGACAAACUACACCCAGACCAGUUACACCCAGACCAGUUAAUCUGGUCAUAUGGAAGAUGCCUCAACAAACAGACACACCCUGCGUGUGCCUAAUAAAUACACAACAAACACAGGCAUCAGACACUGAUUUCUCACACUUCUGUCUCAGAUAAAACACUUUCGACACUGCAAAAAUGAGCGACCCCACGAGGCCUCAACCUGAUUUUGAGGAGGGACAAGAAGGACAAGGGCAAGGCUGCAGAGGUGGACGCGGAGGAAGUGGAGGAAGGGGUGGGGGUGGACGUGGUGGGAAGGGUGGACGCGGAGAUGGACCUGAUGAUGAGCGUGACAAUGGACAAGGAGGUGGACGAGGAGGUGGAGGUGGAGGUGGACGUGGACGUGGAGGUGGACAUUAAGAUGACCCCCACAUGGGCCUACAAAGAGAAGAAAAACCUCUACAGCCGGAUGACGAAAACUAAGUAACGCCUUGACAGGGACGAAGAUAAAUAGCUUGUGUAUCCAUUGUUUUACUAUUAUGGGCAAUAAAGACUAAGUGAAAUAAACA